UACAGAGGGUGCGAGCGUUGUCCGGAAUCACUGGGCGUAAAGGGCGCGUAGGUGGCGGCCCAAGUCCAUGGUGAAAGCUCGCCGCUUAACGGCGAGUCGGCCACGGAUACUGGGUUGCUCGAGCACUGUAGGGGCAGAUGGAAUUCCGGGUGUAGCGGUGGAAUGCGUAGAGGUCCCCAAGAACACCCGUUGCGAAGGCGGCCGACUGGACACAUAUUGACGCUGAGGCUCGAAAGCAUGGGGAGCAAACAGG
Molecule: ribosomal RNA, 253 nt
Filed under: uncultured bacterium
Lineage: Bacteria
Description: partial 16S ribosomal RNA
Rfam family: Bacterial small subunit ribosomal RNA
Source: RNAcentral